GACGAACGCUGGCGGCGUGCCUAAUACAUGCAAGUCGAACGAGAGCGACCGGUGCUUGCACUGGUCAAUCUAGUGGCGAACGGGUGAGUAACACGUGGGUAACCUGCUCAUCAGAGGGGGAUAACAUCCGGAAACGGAUGCUAAAACCGCAUAGGUCUUCGAGCCGCAUGGCUUGAAGAGGAAAAGAGGCGCAAGCUUCUGCUGAUGGAUGGACCCGCGGUGCAUUAGCUAGUUGGUGAGGUAACGGCUCACCAAGGCCGUGAUGCAUAGCCGACCUGAGAGGGUGAUCGGCCACAUUGGGACUGAGACACGGCCCAAACUCCUACGGGAGGCAGCAGUAGGGAAUCUUCCGCAAUGGACGCAAGUCUGACGGAGCAACGCCGCGUGAGUGAAGAAGGUUUUCGGAUCGUAAAACUCUGUUGUUAGAGGAGAACAAGUGCUAGAGUAACUGUUAGCGCCUUGACGGUAUCUAACCAGAAAGCCACGGCUAACUACGUG
Molecule: ribosomal RNA, 498 nt
Filed under: uncultured bacterium
Lineage: Bacteria
Description: partial 16S ribosomal RNA
Rfam family: Bacterial small subunit ribosomal RNA
Source: RNAcentral